This 752-nucleotide long non-coding RNA is filed under the name Nicotiana benthamiana. RNAcentral describes it as "long non-coding RNA (NBEN_LNC028178)". Lineage: Eukaryota; Viridiplantae; Streptophyta; Magnoliopsida; Solanales; Solanaceae. The record is from RNAcentral.
AAAUCCCAAACACGAAGAUGAAUUUAUGAAAUAUAACCAAAACGGAGUAGAGAAUACUUACCCAAAUCCAUAUGGUGAAUCGCCCAAAUCCGAGCUCCCCAACUCAAAAUAUGAUUGAAUGAACAAAACUAGCUUUAUAUAUUUUUCUUCCAGCUAUUCUAUCUCGUUUCUCAUGCUAAACGUCCCCAAAACUCAUAUUUUAUGCCUCCAAUAGAUUCCUUGUGAAAUUCUAAUCAAUUUAGACUUUUGAAUCACUCAAUUUGACCUUAUAAUGAAUGAGAUAUGUAGGUUUAAUAUUUGCAAAUAGUGCAUGUUUUUAAAUACGCUGCUAGUGGCAAUUUCGUAAUUAAACAGAAAAAAUCUAACAACCUAAUUCUUAGUAAAAUAGAGAUAAAAUCCAAAUACGAUGUCCAAAUUAGAUCAUUCUUUUUGCUACGGGUCCGCAAUUACGAUACAGAUAUAAUGUUUCAAUCAAAAAAAGAAAUAGGAGCUCGUUUGUUCAAUAUGAUAUCAUUUAUGCUUGGAAACCCUAAUGCUUCAAUCAAAAAAGAAAUAGGAGCUCGUUAGUUCAAUAUGAUAUCAUUUAUGCUUGGAAAUCCAAACCUAUCCAAAACUCAGCCGAGACACUCGAGACUCCAACCAAUAAUUCCAAAAAGUCAUAUAUCACUAGCUGAACUUAGCCGAACCUUCAAAAUACCCAAAACAACACCAAAACACCAAAUCACCUCGAAUUCAAGCCUAAGAAUUUCUAA